CACAAUAACAGCACUUACAGUUGACCGGGGCAGCUCUAGCAGGGCAGAAAUUUUACGAACUGACUUGUUAGGAUGCCACCUUUCCAUGACGGUGCCACGUUGAAAUUCACUGAGCUCUUCAGUAAGGCCAUUUUACUGCCAAUGUUUGUCUAUGGAGACUGCAUGGCGGUGUGCUCGAUUUUAUACACCUGUCAGCAACGGGUGUGGCUGAAGUAGCCGAAUCCACUUAUUUGAAGGGGUGUCCACAUACUUUUGUAUAUAUAGCGUACAUACAUCAAAGCAACACACAUAGGAAGUGGUAAAGCCGUAAAGAGGAAGAAUAUGUAUUACAGGAGAUUCCCUAAAAACACGCCACUUCGAUACAGCUAUGACCGGAAGUUACUUUUUCAUAGCAGGUUAGGAGAAUAAGGUUAAGGUUAGGAAAAGGGUUGGGGUUAGCAAAAAUGCUCUCCUAAACUUCUACGAAAAGUCACUUCCGGUCAUAGCUGUAUGGAAGUGCUGUGUUUUUAGGGAGUCCCGGUCAAACAUACAGGAACCUCAUGCUUGAGAUAUCCUGUUGGUACACGCCCCUUAUUGUGUGUGUACACGAGUACUCUGCAACCAUGUCAUCCAGUUCUUGAAGAUGUGAGUGUGUGUGCGCACAGGAGUUUGUGUAACAUGGUCCAUAUUCCUGUAUGCAAACUAUGAGGGUCUUUAUUAAAGAUUUGAACAGUCAAUUAUUUCAUGGUCUGUAUGGUCACAAACUGUUCAUGAAGCAGAGCUUUGCUCCGGUCUGGCUUGGUCAUUUAUGGUAAUGUUGAUUUUGAAUGGUUUUGUUAGAGUUGAUCAUUAUGUUGUAGGGUUCAUUUGAAGGGUUUUGUUAGAGUUGAUCAUUAUGUUGUAGGGUGCAUUUGCUCAACCCCCAGUCUGUUUGUUCCAUGUUGUGGUCGUAGCAUGUGUGCGUAGGGAUCAGUGUGAGGUGUCCUGUGUUGCAGGUCCUCUGUCCCUGAUUGGCACCCAGUCUGCAACACAUGAUACCAAUCUACACAAGCCAGGAAUUCGCCCAAAUUAGAACACACACUCAUAGCCCAGGACACACACGCACACCUACGCAGCCAGGCGCCAAUCACAAUUUCUGUUUACCUAGGAGGAGCCGAUGGUGGCACACACUGAGGUUGGUCUAUAAUUAUUCUCCUCGUGAUGCUCUGUGUAAACCUAGUUAAGAUGGAAACUUGUCGCUGGUUUGGAACUGCUAUAAUUGUACCAGAAGUCAACUCCCCUUCCCUGAGCUACACACACGGCCAUAACUACUCAGAAAUGGGUCAAAGUGGAAAGGCUUUUACUUGGUGUUGUGGCAACACACAAACUGCCUUGAUCUGUCUGAGGAGCCAUGUGCUGUUUCCACACAGCAGCCUCUGAUCUCAGCUUGGCACAAAAUGGCUGCCGUGCCUCACCCAGAUGGAUCCUACUGUAACACGUGAUGAGCCAUUUGGCACAAAAUGGUUGCCACACAACUUUGGUAGAUGAGGUGACUUUCCUCCUGGCCAGUGGCAAAAUUCCUGUGGUUUCAUGAAACUAGUGUGUAGGUGCAGUACUCAGUGUUAUAACCAAUGAUUUAUAUAUACACAAUGGUUAAUAUACAACAUUGGUUGUGACUGUUGUCAUGGUGAGUGUGAUUGACAGAGAAGCACUCGGGACGGUUUUAGAGAAAAAAAACAAGUGAAAUUUAUUCAGUGUUUCAUACAGAAGAGAAACACUACAAAGAGAAGGACGGUACAACAGGAGGAGUCAGGGGUUCGGUCAGACGGGUUAGAGGUCGUUGUGGUGGGUGUCAGGGGUUCGGUCAGAUGGGUUAGAGGUCGUUGUGGUGGGUGUCAGAGGUAGGGUCAGACGGGUUAGAGGUCGUUGUGGUGGGUGUCGGGUUCGGUCAGACGGGUUAGAGGUCGUUGUGGUGGGUGUCGGGUUCGGUCAGAUGGGUUAGAGGUCGUUGUGGUGGGUGUCAGGGGUUCGGUCAGACGGGUUCGAGGUCGUUGUGGUGGGUGUCAGGGGUUCGGUCAGACGGGUUAGAGGUCGUUGUGGUGGGUGUCAGGGGUUCGGUCAGACGGGUUAGAGGUCGUUGUGGUGGGUGUCAGAGGUAGGGUCAGACGGGUUAGAGGUCGUUGUGGUGGGUGUCAGGGGUUCGGUCAGACGGGUUAGAGGUCGUUGUGGUGGGUGUCAGGGGUUCGGUCAGACGGGUUAGAGGUCGUUGUGGUGGGUGUCAGAGGUAGGGUUAUUUUUGGGGGGAUGUU
Non-coding RNA from Salmo salar (Atlantic salmon), 2267 nucleotides. The record is from RefSeq and is a predicted model, not a curated record. Lineage: Eukaryota; Metazoa; Chordata; Actinopteri; Salmoniformes; Salmonidae.